GAUCCCAUUCCGAACUCAGAAGUGAAACACAGUAUCGCCGAUGGUAGUGUGGGGUCUCCCCAUGCGAGAGUAGGUCAUUUCCAGGC
RNAcentral lists this ribosomal RNA (86 nucleotides) under Shewanella sp. SG44-2. The record is from RNAcentral. Lineage: Bacteria; Pseudomonadati; Pseudomonadota; Gammaproteobacteria; Alteromonadales; Shewanellaceae.